This 243-nucleotide ribosomal RNA is filed under the name uncultured Halobacteria archaeon. RNAcentral's name for it is "partial 16S ribosomal RNA". It matches the Rfam family "Archaeal small subunit ribosomal RNA", at positions 1 to 245 of the family's 1478-position model. The record is from RNAcentral. Lineage: Archaea; Methanobacteriati; Methanobacteriota; Halobacteria.
AUUCCGGUUGAUCCUGCCGGAGGCCAUUGCUAUCGGAGUCCGAUUUAGCCAUGCUAGUUGCACGAGUUCAGACUCGUAGCAUAUAGCUCAGUAACACGUGGCCAAACUACCCUACAGACCGCAAUAACCUCGGGAAACUGAGGCCAAUAGCGGAUAUAACUCUCAUGCUGGAGUGCAGAGAGUUAGAAAUGUUCCGGCGCUGUAGGAUGUGGCUGCGGCCGAUUAGGUAGACGGUGGGGUAAC